UACGUAGGGUCCAAGCGUUAAUCGGAAUUACUGGGCGUAAAGCGUGCGCAGGCGGUUUUGUAAGCCAGAUGUGAAAGCCCCGGGCUCAACCUGGGAACUGCAUUUGGGACUGCAAGGCUGGAGUGCGGCAGAGGAGACUGGAAUUCCUGGUGUAGCAGUGAAAUGCGUAGAUAUCAGGAGGAAUACCGAUGGCGAAGGCAGGUCUCUGGGCUGACACUGGAUGCUCAUGCACGAAAGCGUGGGGAAGCAAACAGGG
Molecule: ribosomal RNA, 256 nt
Filed under: uncultured bacterium
Lineage: Bacteria
Description: partial 16S ribosomal RNA
Rfam family: Bacterial small subunit ribosomal RNA
Source: RNAcentral